RNAcentral lists this ribosomal RNA (773 nucleotides) under uncultured Neocallimastigales. Its description in RNAcentral is "partial large subunit ribosomal RNA". It matches the Rfam family "Eukaryotic large subunit ribosomal RNA", at positions 26 to 614 of the family's 3401-position model. The record is from RNAcentral. Lineage: Eukaryota; Fungi; Neocallimastigomycota; Neocallimastigomycetes; Neocallimastigales.
CGCAUCUGUGCAUGCAGCAUAUCAAUAAGCGGAGGAAAAGAAACUAACAAGGAUUCCCCUAGUAACGGCGAGUGAAGCGGGAAGAGCUCAAAUUUGAAAUCUUAAAGGGUUUCCCUCUACGAAUUGUAGUUUAAAGAAGUGUUUUCUGUUGAGGUUUUGGUAAAAGUUCUUUGGAAUAGGACAUCAUAGAGGGUGAGAAUCCCGUAUUUGACCUUUACUUUCAACUUUGUGAUACACUUUCAAAGAGUCGGAUUGUUUGGGAAUGCAGUCCAAAAUGGGUGGUAAAUUCAUCUAAAGCUAAAUAUUGGCGAGAGACCGAUAGCGAACAAGUACCGUGAGGGAAAGAUGAAAAGAACUUUGAAAAGAGAGUUAAACAGUACGUGAAAUUGUCAAAAGGGAAGCGUUUGACACCAGUGUUGUUUUUCUGAAAAUCAAUUAAAGAACUGUUUAUGCUAAGCUGUUUAGACUUUAUCAGCUAACUGUUUAGUUUUGAGCUUUUCUUUAAUGCACUUUUCAGUUAACAAGUCAACAUCAAUUUCUUUUGCUGUAAAAAAGCUUGAGGAAGGUGGCUUGAGAUUCGUCUUAAGUGUUUAUAGCCUCUUGCCUAUGCAGUCGGAGAGAUUGAGGUCUGCAGCGUAGAUCCUUCGGGGCUAAAUGCAUUUGUGCUAAGUUAUAGCAUUUUAUAGACAACUUGUUGACUAUGAUUUGUCUUGUAGCUUACUCGCUUAUGUUAUUUUACCUACGCUUAGGAUGUUGAGUCAUCACACAUCUCU